Molecule: ribosomal RNA, 564 nt
Filed under: Streptomyces sp. 343G10
Lineage: Bacteria; Bacillati; Actinomycetota; Actinomycetes; Kitasatosporales; Streptomycetaceae
Description: bacterial SSU rRNA
Rfam family: Bacterial small subunit ribosomal RNA
Source: RNAcentral
UAGUGGCGAACGGGUGAGUAACACGUGGGCAAUCUGCCCUUCACUCUGGGACAAGCCCUGGAAACGGGGUCUAAUACCGGAUAAUACUUCUGCCUGCAUGGGUGGGGGUUGAAAGCUCCGGCGGUGAAGGAUGAGCCCGCGGCCUAUCAGCUUGUUGGUGGGGUGAUGGCCUACCAAGGCGACGACGGGUAGCCGGCCUGAGAGGGCGACCGGCCACACUGGGACUGAGACACGGCCCAGACUCCUACGGGAGGCAGCAGUGGGGAAUAUUGCACAAUGGGCGGAAGCCUGAUGCAGCGACGCCGCGUGAGGGAUGACGGCCUUCGGGUUGUAAACCUCUUUCAGCAGGGAAGAAGCGCAAGUGACGGUACCUGCAGAAGAAGCGCCGGCUAACUACGUGCCAGCAGCCGCGGUAAUACGUAGGGCGCAAGCGUUGUCCGGAAUUAUUGGGCGUAAAGAGCUCGUAGGCGGCUUGUCGCGUCGGAUGUGAAAGCCCGGGGCUUAACCCCGGGUCUGCAUUCGAUACGGGCAGGCUAGAGUGUGGUAGGGGAGAUCGGAAUUCCU